Molecule: non-coding RNA, 342 nt
Organism: Vicia faba (fava bean)
Lineage: Eukaryota; Viridiplantae; Streptophyta; Magnoliopsida; Fabales; Fabaceae
Source: the annotation of a GenBank genome assembly
AUGAGUCUCUAUCUCAUACAAAUUCCAGCGAGCCCCGCUCCGUCUUCAAAAUCACUCGUGGAUUCAUCUUUGAUUCGCUCAACUUAUGACGCCGCACAGCAGAAAAACAUACUCCUUUGUUUCAACUUUCCGCCUCUGUUUCGACCUCUUCAUUCAACCGUCGUCUCAAUGAUUCGAUCGCUCAACGAUUCAACCUCUGAAGCUUCCGUGCACGAAUUCCGCUUCAAUCACAGUUUCGCGACCUUCGCUCGCUUCCUCGUAGCGCUUCCGUCAGCUUCAAGUUUCGAAACUUCACAUUGCCUCUUUGCUCGCUCGCGAUUUCGCGUUAAAAUCCGAUCAUGA